AACGAACGCUGGCGGCAUGCCUAACACAUGCAAGUCGAACGGGACCUUCGGGUAAGGUUGCGCACGCGUGCGUCAAGCGUCGGACCCGUCCCUUAGGCUCGGAAUACCUCCCCGUAAGGGGUGCUAAUACCGGCUAAUGUCUUCGGACCAAAGAUUUAUCGCGUUUGGAUGGGCCCGCGUUCGAUUAGAUAUUUGGUAGGGUAGAAGCCUACCAAGGCGACGAUACAUAGCUGGUCUGAGAGCAGGAGCAGGGACACUGGGACUGCGACACGGCCCAGACUCGUACGGGAGGCAGCAGGGGGGAAUAUUGGACAAUCGGGGAAAGCAUGAGCCAGCAAUGCCGCGUGAGUGAUGAAGGCCUUAGGGUUGGAAAGCUCGUUUACCCGGGAUGAUAAUGACGGUACCGGGAGAAUAAGCACCGGCUAACUCCGUG
Molecule: ribosomal RNA, 433 nt
Filed under: uncultured bacterium
Lineage: Bacteria
Description: partial 16S ribosomal RNA
Rfam family: Bacterial small subunit ribosomal RNA
Source: RNAcentral